ACAGCAUUCACAUAGCGUCACAACAUUCACGCAACAUUCACAUAGCGUCAAAACAUUAACACGAUAUUCACAUAGCGUCACGACAUUCACACAACAUUCACAUAGCGUCACAACAUUCACACGACAUUCACAUAGCGUCACGACACUCACGCGACAUUCACACAACAUUCACAUAGCGUCACAACAUUCACAUAGCGUCACAACAUUCACACAACAUUCACAUAGCGUCACAACAUUCACACGACAUUCACAUAGCGUCACGACAUUCGCACGACAUUCACAUAGCGUCACAACAUGCACACGACAUUCACAUAGCGUCACAACAUUCACAUAGCGUCACGACAUUCACACAACAUUCAGAUAGCGUCAAAACAUUAACACGACAUUCACGCAACAUUCACAUAGCGUCACGACAUUCACACAACAUUCAGAUAGCGUCACGACAUUCACACGACAUUCACAUAGCGUCACGACAUUCACACGACUUUCACACAACAUUCACAUAGCGUCACAACAUUUACACGACAUUCACAUAGCGUCACGACAUUCACACGACAUUCACAUAGCGUCACGACAUUCACAUAGCGUCACGACAUUCACACGACAUUCACAUAGCGUCACGACAUUCACCCAACAUUCACAUAGCGUCACGACAUUCACAUAGCGUCACGACAUUCACACAACAUUCACGUAUGAUUUAAUCUCGGUUAGCUCAUGGUAAUCCUGUUAAACUCAUGGUGAUCUCGGUAAACUCAUGGUAAUAUUGCUCAACAUAUGGUAAUCUUGGUAAACUCAUGGUAAUAUUGCUCAACAUAUGGUAAUCUUGGUAAACUCAUGGUAAUAUUGCUCAACAUAUGGUAAUCUUGGUAAACUCAUGGUAAUAUUGCUCAACAUAUGGUAAUCUUGGUAAACUCAUGGUAAUAUUGAUCAACAUAUGGUAAUCUUGGUAAACUCAUGGUAAUAUUGCUCAACAUAUGGUAAUCUUGGUAAACUCAUGGUAAUAUUGCUCAACAUAUGGUAAUCUUGGUAAACUCAUGGUAAUAUUGGUAAAUUCAUGGUAAUCCCAGUUAACGUAUGGUAAUCCUAGUCCAUUCAUGGUAAUCUCAGUCAACAUGGUAAUCCUGGUAAACUCAUGAUAAUCUCAGUUAACGCAUGGUAAUCCUGGUAAACUCAUGGUAAUCUCAGUCAACAUAUGGUAAUCCUGGUAAACUCAUGGUAAUCUCAGUUAACGUAUGGUAAUCCUGGUGAACCCAUGGUAAUCUCGGCUAACGUAUGGUAAUCCUGGUAAACUCAUGGUAAUCUCAGUUAACGUGUGGUAAUCCUGGUAAACUCAUGGUAAUCUCAGUCAACAUAUGGUAAUCCUGGUAAACUCAUGGUAAUAUCAGUUAACGUGUGGUAAUCCUGGUAAACUCAUGGUAAUCUCAGUCAACAUGGUAAUCCUGGUAAACUCAUGGUAAUAUCAGUUAACGUAUGGUAAUCCUGGUAAACUCAUGGUAAUCUCAGUUAACGUGUGGUAAUUUUGGUAAACCCAUGGUAAUCUCAGUUAACGUAUGGUAAUCCUGAUAAACUCAUGGUAAUCAGUUAACAUAUGGUAAUCUUGGUAAACUCAUGGUAAUAUUGCUUAACAUAUGGUAAUACGUACUGGUAAACUCAUGGUAAUCUCAGUCAACAUACGGUAAUCCUGGUAAACUCAUGGUAAUAUCAGUUAACGUAUGGUAAUCCUGGUAAACUCAUGGUAAUCUCUGUUAACGUGUGGUAAUCCUGGUAAACCCAUGGUGAUCUCAGUUAAUGUAUGGUAAUUCUGGUAAACCCAUGGUAAUCUCUGUUAACAUAUGGUAAUCCUGGUAAUCUCUGUUAACGUAUGGUAAUCCUGGUAAACGCAUGGUGAUCUCAGUUAACAUAUGGUAAUCUUGGUAAACUCAUGGUAUUAUUGCUUAACAUAUGGUAAUCCUGGUAAACUCAUGGUAAUAUCAGUUAACGUGUGGUAAUCUUGGUAAACCCAUGGUAAUCUCAGUUAACGUGUGGUAAUCUUGGUAAACCCAUGGUAAUCUCUGUUAACGUAUGGUAAUCCUGGUAAUCUCUGUUAACAUAUGGUAAUCCUGAUAAACUCAUGGUAAUCUCUGUUAACGUGGUAAUCCUGGUAAACCCAUGGUAAUCUCUGUUAACGUAUGGUAAUCCUGGUAAACUCAUGGUAAUCUUGGCUAACGUAUGGUACUCCUGGUAAACUCAUGGUAAUCUCGGCUAUCGUAUGGUAAUCCUGGUAAACCCAUGGUAAUCUCAGUUAACGUAUGGUAAUCCUGGUAAACGCAUGGUAAUCCUGGUAAACUCAUGGUAAUCUUGGCUAACAUAUGGUAAUCCUGGUAAACCCAUGGUAAUUAGUUAACGUAUGGUAAUCCUGGUAAACUCAUGGUAAUCUCAGUUAACGUAUGGUAAUCCUGGUAAACCCAUGGUAAUCUUGGUAAACCCAUGGUAAUCUCGGCUAUCGUAUGGUAAUCCUGGUAAACCCAUGGUGAUCUCAGUUAACUUAUGGUAAUCCUGGUAAACUCAUGGUAAUCCUGGUAAACUCAUGGUAAUCUUGGCUAACGUAUGGUAAUCCUGGUAAACUCAUGGUAAUCUCUGUUAACGUGUGGUAAUCCUGGUAAACCCAUGGUAAUCUCAGUUAACGUAUGGUAAUGCUGGUAAACCCAUGGUAAUAUCAGUUAACGUAUGGUAAUCCUGGUAAACCCAUGGUAAUCUCGGCUAACGUAUGGUAAUCCUGGUAAACUCAUGGUAAUCUCUGUUAACGUGUGGUAAUCUUGGUAAACUCAUGGUAAUCUCUGUUAACGUAUGGUAAUUCUGGUAAACUCAUGGUAAUCUCAGUUAACGUGGUAAUCCUGGUAAACCCAUGGUAAUCUCAGUUAACGUGUGGUAAUUUUGGUAAACCCAUGGUAAUCUCGGCUAUCGUAUGGUAAUCCUGGUAAACCCAUGGUAAUCUCGGCUAACCUUGUGGCGAUGUCGCUGAGACUUAUGCUAAUGAGGGUAACUUAUUUUAAUGUCACACGGGAAUCUGGAUGGAGCGCGCGCUAAGCACUGUUAAUUCGUGCCCUUGUAUGCUAAUUUAUGGUAAUAUGUGCGUGACGUCUGAUAAUUUAUGGUAAUAUAUGCGAACAAGCGUUGAUUUAUGUUAAUAUAUGCGUGAAGUCUGCUAAUUUAUUGUUAUGUGUGUUAACCUUGGUCCAUAUAUAGUCCACCCUCAGUCCUUAUAGUCCACCCUCAGUCCUUAUAGUCCAUCCUCCGUUCAUAUAGUCCACCCUCAGUCAUUAUAGUCCACCCUCAGUCUUUUUAGUCCACCCUCAGUCCAUAUAGUCCACCCUCAGUCCUUAUAGUCCACCCUCAGUCAUUAUAGUCCACCCUCAGUCGAUAGAGUCCACCAUCCGUUCAUAUAGUCCACCCUCAGUCCAUAUAGUCCACCAUCCGUUCAUAUAGUCCACCCUCAGUCCACCAUCAGUCCAUAUAGUCCACCAUCCGUUCAUAUAGUCCACCCUCAGUCCAC
This is a non-coding RNA of Petromyzon marinus (sea lamprey), 3532 nucleotides long. The record is from RefSeq and is a predicted model, not a curated record. NCBI's taxonomy places the organism in Eukaryota, Metazoa, Chordata, Hyperoartia, Petromyzontiformes, Petromyzontidae.